CGUAGGGUGCGAGCGUUAAUCGGAAUUACUGGGCGUAAAGCGUGCGCAGGCGGUUUGUUAAGAUAGGCGUGAAAUCCCCGGGCUCAACCUGGGAACUGCGCUUAUGACUGGCAAGCUAGAGUACGGCAGAGGGGGGUGGAAUUCCACGUGUAGCAGUGAAAUGCGUAGAGAUGUGGAGGAACACCAAUGGCGUAGGCAGCCCCCUGGGUCGAUACUGACGCUCAUGCACGAAAGCGUGGGUAGCAAACAGGAUUAGAUACCCUGGUAGUCCACGCCCUAAACGAUGUCAACUAGGUGUUGGGAGGGUAGAACCUUUUAGUACCGGAGCUAACGCGUGAAGUUGACCGCCUGGGGAGUACGGCCGCAAGGUUA
Molecule: ribosomal RNA, 372 nt
Filed under: uncultured organism
Description: bacterial SSU rRNA
Rfam family: Bacterial small subunit ribosomal RNA
Source: RNAcentral